Long non-coding RNA from Sebastes umbrosus (honeycomb rockfish), 874 nucleotides. RefSeq lists it as uncharacterized. The record is from RefSeq and is a predicted model, not a curated record. The transcript is spliced from 3 exons. Lineage: Eukaryota; Metazoa; Chordata; Actinopteri; Perciformes; Sebastidae.
AAAGCCUGAAAACAGAGCCAUGAUGAGGUGCAGAAGUCUAGUUAUCUCUCAGAACACUUGAAUUACAAUAUGAUGAAAGGUUAUUAAUCAAACAUUUCAUUACCCAAACGGACCUAGAAAAAGUCAUCCAUGCAUUCGUCUCAUCCCGAUUAGACUACUGUAAUUCCCUUUAUUCGGGGCUCAGUCAAAAAGCCAUAUCCCAUCUCCAACUUGUUCAAAAUGCCCAUAUCACACCCAUCCUUGCAACACUUCACUGCCUCCCAUUCAGGUAUAUUAUUGAUUUUAAAAUUUGACUAAUUACUUUUAAAGCCCUUCACGGCCUUGCCCCUAACUACAUUUUACAAUUACUCGAGCCCUACGAACUGAGCCGCUGCCUGCGCUCCUCAGGUAGGACCCUCCUCACUGUCACCACAGCCCAUCUUGUUACAAAGGGAGACCGGGCGUUCUCUGUUAGAGCCCCACAGCUGUGGAACUCCCUUUCGGAGGAACUCAGGCUAGAAAACUCUUUUUCUUCUUUUAAAUCACACCUCAAAACCUACCUUUACAGGAAGGCCUUUUUAUAGCAAUCCCUUGUUUUAAAUUUCAUUACUGUUGACUUUUUGUACAAAAGUCUUAUGUUCAACAUUUUAAAAAUUCCCGAAGCCAGAAUUUAAAUCCAUCGCGGACUUUUAGAGUAAUCCUCCAAACGGACAAACCAACGCCAGUGAAAACAUAACCUCCUUCCUAGGCCUUUGGCCUUGGCGGAGGUAAAAAUAAGCAAAAAAUGCACAGCUCUGUUGUGGACUUUGUUUUUCCAUUUGAAAAGUUUGUCAUUUGUUAUUUGAUAUUUGUUUUUGAUAUUAUAUACUAUCUUAUUUUAAUCAUCUUCAGUUGA